This 677-nucleotide ribosomal RNA is filed under the name uncultured bacterium. RNAcentral's name for it is "bacterial SSU rRNA". It matches the Rfam family "Archaeal small subunit ribosomal RNA", at positions 573 to 1250 of the family's 1478-position model. The record is from RNAcentral.
GUCUGAAGAGACUGCAAGACUUGAGAUCGGGUGAGGUUAAACGUACUUUCAGGGUAGGGGUAAAAUCCUGUAAUCCCGGAAGGACGACCAGUGGCGAAAGCGUUUAACUAGAACGAAUCUGACGGUAAGGAACGAAGGCUAGGGUAGCAAACCGGAUUAGAUACCCGGGGUAGUCUAGCUGUAAACAUUGCCCAUUUGAUGUUGCUUUCCCGUUGAGGGAAGGCAGUGUCGGACCGAAGGUGUUAAAUGGGCCGCCUUGGGAAGUAUGGUCGCAAGACUGAAACUUAAAGGAAUUGGCGGGGGAGCACCGCAACGGGAGGAAUGUGCGGUUUAAUUGGAUUCAACGCCGGAAAACUCACCGGGAACGACCUGUGCAUGAGAGUCAACUUGACGAGCUUACUCGAUAGCAGGAGAGGUGGUGCAUGGCCGUCGUCAGCUCGUACCGUAGGGCGUUCACUUAAGUGUGAUAACGAGCGAGACCCACAUCUUUAAUUGCAAAUGUAUAUGGGAAUAUGCAUGCACUUUAGAGAAACCGCCAGCGCUAAGCUGGAGGAAGGAGUGGUCGACGGCAGGUCAGUACGCCCCGAAUUUCCCGGGCUACACGCGCAUUACAAAGAACGGGACAAUACGUUGCAACAUCGAAAGAGGGAGCCAAUCGCGAUACCCGUCCAUAGUUA